This 484-nucleotide ribosomal RNA is filed under the name uncultured bacterium. RNAcentral's name for it is "partial 16S ribosomal RNA". It matches the Rfam family "Bacterial small subunit ribosomal RNA", at positions 30 to 507 of the family's 1533-position model. The record is from RNAcentral.
AUUGAACGCUGGCGGCAUGCCUAACACAUGCAAGUCGAGCGGAUGAAUGGAGCUUGCUCCUGGAUUCAGCGGCGGACGGGUGAGUAAUGCCUAGGAAUCUGCCUUGUAGUGUGGGAUAACGUCCUGAAACGGGCGCUAAUACCGCAUCCGUCCUGAGGUAGAAAUUGGAGGAUCUUCGGACCUCACGCUAUCAGAUGAGCCUAGGUCGGAUUAGCUAGUUGGUGGGGUAAAGGCCUACCAAGGCGACGAUCCGUAACUGGUCUGAGAGGAUGAUCAGUCACACUGGAACUGAGACACGGUCCAGACUCCUACGGGAGGCAGCAGUGGGGAAUAUUGGACAAUGGGCGAAAGCCUGAUCCAGCAAUGCCGGGUGUGUGAAGAAGGUCUUCGGAUUGUAAAGCACUUUAAGUUGGGAGGAAGGGCAGUAAGUUAAUACCUUGCUGUUUUGACGUUACCAACAGAAUAAGCACCGGCUAACUUCGUG